GACGAACGCUGGCGGCGUGCCUAAUACAUGCAAGUAGAACGCUGAAGAGAGGAGCUUGCUCUUCUUGGAUGAGUUGCGAACGGGUGAGUAACGCGUAGGUAACCUGCCUUGUAGCGGGGGAUAACUAUUGGAAACGAUAGCUAAUACCGCAUAACAAUGGAUGACACAUGUCAUUUAUUUGAAAGGGGCAAUUGCUCCACUACAAGAUGGACCUGCGUUGUAUUAGCUAGUAGGUGAGGUAAUGGCUCACCUAGGCGACGAUACAUAGCCGACCUGAGAGGGUGAUCGGCCACACUGGGACUGAGACACGGCCCAGACUCCUACGGGAGGCAGCAGUAGGGAAUCUUCGGCGAUGGGGGCAACCCUGACCGAGCGACGCCGCGUGAGUGAAGAAGGUGUUCGGAUCGUAAAGCUCUGUUGUAAGUCAAGAACGGGUGUGAGAGUGGAAAGUUCACACUGUGACGGUAGCUUACCAGAAAGGGACGGCUAACUACGUG
Molecule: ribosomal RNA, 497 nt
Filed under: uncultured bacterium
Lineage: Bacteria
Description: partial 16S ribosomal RNA
Rfam family: Bacterial small subunit ribosomal RNA
Source: RNAcentral